RNAcentral lists this ribosomal RNA (377 nucleotides) under Armillifer grandis. Its description in RNAcentral is "SSU rRNA". It matches the Rfam family "Eukaryotic small subunit ribosomal RNA", at positions 621 to 990 of the family's 1831-position model. The record is from RNAcentral. Lineage: Eukaryota; Metazoa; Arthropoda; Ichthyostraca; Porocephalida; Armilliferidae.
GUUAAAAAAGCUCGUAGUUGGAUCUCGGUUCGUGGCGAUCGGACCGUCUUCGCGACGGAUUCCAGAUCGAUCCGAACAGAAAUAGCCGGUUAGCCUGGCGAUGCUCUUCAUCGAGUGUGUGUCGGGCGGCUGGUACGUUUACUUUGAAAAAAUUAGAGUGCUCAAAGCAGGCCUUAGCGCCAGAAUAAUAGUGCAUGGAAUAAUGGAAUAGGAUCUCGGUUCUAUUUUGUUGGUUCUCGGAACACGAGAUAAUGAUUAAUAGGAACAGACGGGGGCAUUCGUAUUGCGACGUUAGAGGUGAAAUUCUUGGAUCGUCGCAAGACGGACUACUGCGAAAGCAUUUGCCAAGCAUGUUUUCAUUAAUCAAGAACGAAAGU